GGGUCAGUAGGUUGGUCGUGCCACCGGUACGUACUGGUCUCACUGAUUCCUCCUUCCUGAAGAACCGUAAUGCCUUUAAUUUGGUGUUGCGGGGAAACAGGACUGUUACUUUGAAAAAAUUAGAGUGUUUAAAGCAAGCUAACGCUUGAAUACAUUAGCAUGGAAGAAUGAAAUAGGACGAUCGAUCCUAUUUUGUUGGUUUCUAGGAUUGACGUA
RNAcentral lists this ribosomal RNA (216 nucleotides) under Glomeromycotina sp. RNAcentral's name for it is "partial small subunit ribosomal RNA". The stretch from base 40 to 216 matches the Rfam family "Eukaryotic small subunit ribosomal RNA", at positions 686 to 864 of the family's 1831-position model. Lineage: Eukaryota; Fungi; Glomeromycota. The record is from RNAcentral.